UUUGCUACCCGGCGAGUUCUGGUCUGUUGGUGAUUAUCUUCCGGACAACAAGAGGCAUCAACAUGGUUGUCCCAACCGGGAGAUCUGUGGUCUUCGUGACUGGAAACGCAAAUGAACUAGAAGAGGGGAUUCAGAUCCUGGGGGACAAGUUUCCCUACAAACUAGUGUCCAAGAAGAUUGACUGUGAGUACACCUUAUCAAUGGUUCCUGAAUAAACUGAAGCCAGAAGGUAAGCAAUGACUCAUAUAAGCUACAAAGCCUAUGUUAUGUAUAAAUGAAUACAGUUAGUUACAGUAAAUGUAAAGUUACCAAUUAUUAUGUAAGCGUGUGUGAACUGUUAAGGACCCAGUUUGUUUCUAAUGAUGAACUUAGCCAUAAGAUGCUUUUUAAAAUUAUAUAGGAUCCUAUGGUUCUAAUGAUGAACUUAGCCUUAAGAUGCCUUUGGGCAUCGGCCCAGGUCAGUUUAAGAUGCUGGGUUUGAGGAUAAGUCGGCCUGGACUUUGUGUACCUUUGCCUUCUGUCCAGGGAAAGAGGAACUGGUACAACUCUUCAGAGGGAUAACUGAGGUAAGAAUAUCACACACACACACACCACACUGAACAUCUCUGCAUGCUUGCUCUAAUAUACAGUACCAGUCAAAGGUUUGGACACACCUACCCAUUCCAGGGUUUUUCUUUAUUUUUAAUAUUUUCUUCAUUGUAGAAUAAUAGUGAAGACAUUUCAAACUAUGAAAUAACACAUGAUAUCUUGUAGUAACCAAAAAAGUGUUAAACAAAUCAAAAUAGAUUUUAUAUUUGAAAUGAUUCUAAGUAGCCACCCUUUGCCUUGACAGCUUUGCACACUCUUUGCGUCCUCUCAACCAGCUUCAUGAGGUAGUCACCAGGAAUGCAUUUCAAUUAACUGCUGUGCCUUGUUAAAAGUUAUGUGUGGAAUUUCUUUACUUCAAUGCGUUUGAGCCAAUCAGUUGUGUUGUGACAAGGUAGGGGUGAUAUACAGAAGAGCCCUUUCUGGUAAAAGACUAAGUCCGUAUAAUGGCAAGAACAGCUCAAAUAAGCAAAGAGAAAUGGCCGUCCAUCAUUACUUUAAGAUGGUCAGUCAAUCAGGAAAAUUUCAAGAACUUCUAAAGUUUAUUCAAGUGCAGUUGCAAAAACCAUCAAGGGCUAUGAUUAAACAGGCUCUCAUGAAAGGAAGACCCAGAGUUACCUCUGUUGCAGAGUAUAAGUUCAUUAGAGUUACCAGCCUCAGAAAUUGCAGCCCAAAUAAAUGCUUCAGAGUUCAAGUAACAGACACAUCUCAACAUCAACUGUUCAGAGGAGACUGAAUAUUGAUGAUGGUCCCGGAGAGGAAGGCUGCUGUUUUAUGGGCUCUUAACCAACUGUGCUAUUUUGUUAGAUUUUUCUUAUUGUUUGUAACUUAUUUUGUACAUAAUGUUGCUGCUAUCGUCUCUUAUGACGGUAGCAGCUUCUAGACAUCAGAGCUUCUGGACAUCAGAACAGCGAUUACUCACCUCGAUUUGGACAAAGAUUUUUCUUUAAAGAGUUGGACUGGAAGGAUAUACUCCAAACACCCGAACAAGCCCUCAUCCCUGUCAUUCACAGGUGAAAGAAACAUAGAUUUUGUGGAACGAGAUCGGGGUGCCUUGUGAGGAUCAGGCGACGAGAGGCUAAUCUGCCUUUGCCAUCUGUACUGUUAGCCAACGUUCAAUCGCUGGAAAAUAAAUGGGACGAACUAAAAGCAUGUAUAUCCUACCAACAGAACAUUACAAACUGUAAUAUCUUAUGUUUCACUGAGUCAUGGCUGAACAACAACAUUAAUAACAUACAGCUGGCGGGUUAUACACACUAUCGGCAGGAUAGAACAGCAGCCUCUGGUAAGACACGGGGUGGUGGCCUAUGUAUAUUUGUAAACAACAGCUAGUGCACGAUAUCUAAGGAAGUGUCAAGGGUUUUCUCGCCUGAGGUAGAGUAUCUCAUGACAAGCUGUAGACCACACUAUCUACCUUGAGAGUUUAUCUGUAUUUUUCGUAGCUGUCUUACAUACCAUCACAGACCGAAGCUGGCACAAAGAUCGCACUCAAUGAGCUGAAUACCGCCAUAAGCAAACAGGAAAACGCUCAUCCAGAGGUGGCACUCCUAGUGGCCGGGGACAUUAAUGCAGGGAAACUUAAAUCAGUUUUGACCUAAUUUCCAUCUGCUAAUCAAAUGGCUACUCAGACUAUUUGCAUUGCAUCAAAAAGGUUCUUUAUUAUAAACCAAAACUAUUAACUUUAAACAAAGAAAAAGGAAUGAGGUGUGAAAGUAUCAUAAUGUAAGGUGUAUGUAAAGUGCAGGGAUGCAUGAAUCUGUGUGUGUGAAUGACUGAGUCAAAACUACAAAGGAACAAACAAAACAGGAUCAUACCUGGAAGAGCAGAGAGGGAGAGAUUAGUGAAGCCGUUUAAAUACCCUGAGCCCAGGUGACUCCAAUCACUAACGACCCUCCUCUGCCUGCAGGAGGAACCGCCCCUGCACUGCAGAGGGGGGGGGUGUGACAAUAGUCACUUUAAUAACUCUACCUACAUGUACAUAUUACCUCGACACCGGUACCCCCUGUACAUAGCCUCGCUAUUGUUAUUUUACUGCUGCUCUUUAAUUAUUUGUUACUUUUAUCUCCUACUUUUUUAGGUAUUUUCUUAACUGCAUUAUUGGUUAAGGGCUUGUAAGUAAGCAUUCCACUGUACCUGUUGUUUUCGGCGCUUGUGACAAAUAAAACUUUGUUUGACUCUGUGAAUCAGGCCUUCAUGGAAGAAUUGCUGCAAAGAAACUUCUACUAAAGGACACCAAUAAUAAGAAGAGACUUGCUUGGGCCAAGAAACACGAGCAAUGAACAUUAGACCGGUGGAAAUCUGUCCUUUGGUCUGAUGAGUCCAAAUGUGAGAUUUUUGGUUUUAACCGCUGUGUCUUUGUGAGACGCAAAGUAGGUGAACAGAUGAUCUCCGCAUGUGUGGUUCCCACCGUGAAGCAUGGAGGAUGAGGUGGUGUGUGGGUGCUUUGCUGGUGAAACAGUCAGUGAUUUAUUUAGAAUUCAAGGCACACUUAACCAGCAUGGCUACCACAGCAUUCUGCAGCUAUACGCCAUCCCAUCUGGUUUGGGCUUAGUGGGACUAUCAUUACUUUUUAAACAGGACAAUGACCCAACACACCUCCAGGCUGUGUAAAGGCUAUUUGACUAAGAAGGAGAGUCAUGGAGUGCUGCAUCAGAUGACCUGGCCUACACAAUCACCUGACCUCAACUCAAUUGCGAUGGUUUGGGAUGAGUUGGACCACAGAGUGAAGGAAAAUCAGCCAACGGUCAACCAAAUCGUUUCUAGUCAUCUCAUCCUUCCAGGCUUUUCCUUCUCUUGACUUUAUAAUGCGAUUGGCAACUUUCAUAAAUUAGGUGCAUUACAUAAUUGAAUAACAUAGUCAGACUGUUAGCUUACACUGGGGUUUGCGUGGUCUGGUGUGAAUUUCAUCAGUAGUGGAUUUUAUACGUUUUAAUAGAAAAGGGCGGUUCCAUGACGCCGACGUAAUGUCCAUGCUCACGUGGGUGUGGCCAUUGAUUUGGUUAACUUCAUAUGAAAAACCCAUACUCUCAUUUAAAGGUUAACAUCACAUGACAUCUUUUGUCACUAAAGCACUAAAUAAUAACAAUUAGUGCUAAAUACAGCUGCUAGAAUCCUGACGAGAACUAAACAAUUUGAUCAUAUUACUCCAGUGCUAGCCUCCCUACACUGGCUUCCUGUUAUGACAAGGGCUGAUUUCAAGGUUUUACUGCUAACCUACAAAGCAUUACAUGGGCUUGCUCCUACCUAUCUCUCUGAUUUGGUCCUGCCGUACAUACAUACGUACGCUACGGUCACAAGACGCAGGCCUCCUAAUUGUCCCUAGAAUUUCAAAGCAAACAGCUGGAGGCAGGGCUUUCUCCUAUAGAGCUCAAUUUUUAUGGAAUGGUCUGCCUACCCAUGUGAGAGACGCAGACUCGGUCUCAACCUUUAAGUCUUUACUGAAGACUCAUCUCUUCAGUGGGUCAUAUGAUUGAGUGUAGUCUGGCUCUGGAGCAACGAACCGCCCUUGCUGUCUCUGCCUGGCCGGAUCCCCUCUUUCCACUGGGAUUCUCUGCCUCUAACCCUAUUACAGGGGCUGAGUCACUGGCUUACUGGUGCUCUUUCAUGCCGUACCUAGGAGGGGUGCGUCACUUGAGUGGGUUGAGUCACUGAUGUGAUCUUCCUGUCUGGGUUGGCGCCCCCCCUUGGGUUGUGCCAUGGCGGAGAUCUUUGUGGGCUAUACUCGGCCUUGUCUCAGGAUGGUAAGUUGGUGGUUGAAGAUAUCCCUCUAGUGGUGUGGGGGCUGUGCUUUGGCAAAGUGGGUGGGGUUAUACCCUUCCUGUUUGGCCCUGUCCGGGGGUAUCAUCGGAUGGGACCACAGUGUCUCCUGACCCCUCCUGUCUCAGCCUCCAGUAUUUAUGCUGCAGUAGUUUGUGUCGGGGGGCUAGGGUCAGUUUGUUAUAUCUGGAGUACUUCUCCUGUCUUAUCCGGUGUCCUGUGUGAAUUUAAGUAUGCUCUCUCUAAUUCUCUCUUUCUCUCUCUCGGAGGACCUGAGCCCUAGGACCAUGCCUCAGGACUACCUGGCAUGAUGACUCCUUGCUGUCCCCAGUCCACCUGGCCAUGCUGCUGCUCCAGUUUGAACUGUUCUGCCUGCGGCUAUGGAAUCCUGACCUGUUCACCGGACAUGCUACCUGUCCCAGACCUGCUGUUUUCAACUCUCUAGAGACAGCAGGAGUGUUAGAAAUACUUUUAAUGAUCGGCUAUGAAAAGCCAACUGACAUUUACUCCUGAGGUGCUGACUUGCUGCACCCUCGACAACUGCUGUGAUUAUUAUUAUUUGACCAUGCUGUUCAUUUAUUAACAUUUGAACAUCUUGGGCAUGUUCUGUUAUAAUCUCCACCCGGCACAGCCAGAAGAGGACUGGCCACCCCUCAUAGCCUGGUUCCUCUAGGUUUCUUCCUAGCCACUGUGCUUCUACACCUGCAUUGCUUGCUGUUUGGGGUUUUAGGCUGGGUUUCUGUACAGCACUUUGAGAUAUCAGCUGAUGUACGAAGGUCUUUAUAAUUCCAUUUUGAUUUGAUCUUUUCACAAAUAGUUUAAUGAGUAAUCACAUACGUUUCACAAUAUUUAGAUGUAAACCUGACAGCUGGGAAAUGUACAGGGAGCCACAAUCUACACCCAGAAAGGGCCACAUCAUGACACUAUUUUGACGACUCUCAAAUAUAAAAUAUAUUUUGAUUUAACACUUUUUUUGGUUACUACAUGAUUCCGUAUGUGUUAUUUCAUAGUUUUAAUGUCAUCACUAUUAUUCUACAAUGUAGAAAGAAAAACCCUUGAAUGAGUAGGUGUGUCCAUACUUUUGACUGGUACUGUACAUGUCUUUUAUCUGAACUGUUACAUUGUAGAGCCUAGAGGCCCAGAGACUUUGGAUGGGACCCCUGUUUCCAGGCAGACUGAUAUGACAAAACAAAAGCAGGACCUAAUGCAGGACAUUUAUUUUACUGGGUUUAUGCAUCACACUUUACCUGUCUUUUAUUGAACCAAUUGACAGAAACUAAUGAUAGUGAUUAUUCCCAGUUUCACUGAUGAUUUGUAAGUUCUCUCUCUCUCGCUCUAUCAUCCCUGUAGUUAUGCUGAGCUACCCAAGGAGGUGAAGAACACCAUUUCCCAUCGGUAUCAAGCUCUGGCAGCCAUGUCUGGACACUUCUCCUCUCAGGACAAUGGCACACCAGACAGCAAGAAGAAGUAAUGGCUAUUAACCCCUGAUCUAGCAUCAGAUCACAUAACCAUUAGAGGGAUACAAAAUCUGACCCUGUAUCAGUGGUGGGGCAACUUCUACCUACUCUGACUUAUGGGUAUCAGAGUCUGAGCCAAUCAAACAGUUCUGAUGUUGAAUUUAGAUAGUGGUGCUUUUGAUACAGUGCCUUCAAAAAGUAUUCACACCCCUUGACUCUUUCCACAGUUUGAUGUGUUACACACGGGAUUCAAAUUGAAAAAGAAUUGUCAACGAUCUACACAAAAUACUCUACAAUGUCUAAGUUGAAGAUUUUUUAAAUCAACUUAUAAAACACACUAAUAUGUCUUGAUUCGAUAAGUAUUCAACCCCCUGAGUCAAUACAUGUUAGAAUCACCUUUGGCAGUGAUUACACCUGUGAGUCUUUCUGGGUAAGUUUCUAAGAGCUUUGCAUACCUGGAUUGUACAAUAUAUACAAAUUAGUAUACUUUUUUUUCAAGCUCUGUCAAGUUGUUAGUUGAUCAUUACAACACAGCCAUUUAAGUCUUGCCAUAGUUUUAAGUCAAAACUGUAACUAGGUCACUCGGGAACAUUACAUGUUGUCUUGGUAAGCAACUCCAGUAUAUAAUUGGCCUUGUGUUUUAGAUUAUUGUCCUGAAAAUAUGUAGAAUGGUGCUUUUGUGUUGGAUUUGCCCCAAACAACACUUUGUUUUCAGGACAUAAAGUUAAUUUCUUUGGUACAUUUUUUGCAGUUUUACGUUAGUGCCUUAUUGCAAAAAGGAUGCAUGUUUUGGAAUAUUUUUUUUGUUACUGGCUUUCUUCUUUUCACUCUGUCAUUUAGGUUAGUAUUGUGGAGUAACUACAAUUUUUUUGAUCCAUCCUCAGUUUUCUGCUAUCACAGCCUCAUUGUGAAAUCCCUGAGCAGUUUCCUUCCUCUCAGGCAACUGAGUUAGGAAGGACGCCUGUAUUUUUGUAGUGAUUGGGUGUACACCAUCCAAAGUGUAAUUAAUAACUUCUCCAUGCUCAAAGGGAUGUUAAAUAUCUACUUUUUAAUAUUUACCCACCUACCAAUAGGUGCCCUUUGCGAGGCUUUGGAAAACCUUGCUGGUCUUUGUUUCAAUCUGUUUUUGAAAUUCACUGCUUGACUGAGAGACCUUAAAGAUCAUUUUAUGUGUGGUGUGCAGAGAUGAGGUAGUCAUUCAUGUUAAACACAAUUAUUGCAUCUGUGCAACUUGUGACUUGUUAAGCAUAUUUUUACUCUUGAACUUAUUUAGGCUUGCCAUAACAAAGGGGUGGAAUACAAUAUUGACUCGAGACAUUUGAGCUUUUAAUUUGUACACAUUUCUAAAAACCUAAUUCCACUUUGACAUUAUGGAGUCUUGUGUGUAGGCCAGUGACACAAAAUCUCAAUUUAAUCGAUUUUAAAUUCAGGCUGUAACACAACAAAAUGUGGGGGAAAGUGAAGGGGUUUGAAUACUUUCUGAAGGCCCUCUAUAUGCUUUCCUUAAACUGGAAGAACUCAAGAUAUAUUGUGUCCUUUGUCCAACCUGGAUUAUGUGGAUUUAGAACCAAGACUUUUUGCUUUCUAGAGUGCAGACUCCAAAUCAGGACUAUACUCAUACUGUAUGUGUGAUGUGUUACUGAGGCAGGUUCUGUGAGUGUGUAUGGAGUGCCCCAAGAGAAGUGUAUAAUAAACCAUAAACAUUCUGCCA
Oncorhynchus nerka (sockeye salmon) is the source of this 7509-nucleotide long non-coding RNA. RefSeq lists it as uncharacterized. The transcript is spliced from 2 exons. NCBI's taxonomy places the organism in Eukaryota, Metazoa, Chordata, Actinopteri, Salmoniformes, Salmonidae. The record is from RefSeq and is a predicted model, not a curated record.